Long non-coding RNA from Thalassophryne amazonica, 126 nucleotides. RefSeq lists it as uncharacterized. Lineage: Eukaryota; Metazoa; Chordata; Actinopteri; Batrachoidiformes; Batrachoididae. The transcript has 2 exons. The record is from RefSeq and is a predicted model, not a curated record.
CCUGAACUCCACAUGAAAGGCAGACACUAUCAAACAACCUGACUAAUUUCAACAAGCUCAGCUCAUCAGAAACAAAGACAUCACGCAUCAGACAAAAAAGAGAUAAAAAUAAAAUAUAUAAAUAAA